AUACGAAGGGGGCUAGCGUUGUUCGGAAUUACUGGGCGUAAAGCGCGCGUAGGCGGAUUGGUCAGUUAGGGGUGAAAUCCCAGGGCUUAACCCUGGAACUGCCUCUAAUACUGCCAGUCUUGAGUUCGGGAGAGGUGAGUGGGAUUCCUAGUGUAGAGGUGAAAUUCGUAGAUAUUAGGAAGAACACCAGUGGCGAAGGCGGCUCACUGGCCCGAUACUGACGCUGAGGCGCGAAAGCGUGGGGAGCAAACAGGAUUAGAUACCCUAGUAGUCC
This 274-nucleotide ribosomal RNA is filed under the name uncultured bacterium. RNAcentral's name for it is "partial 16S ribosomal RNA". It matches the Rfam family "Bacterial small subunit ribosomal RNA", at positions 523 to 796 of the family's 1533-position model. The record is from RNAcentral.